This 468-nucleotide ribosomal RNA is filed under the name uncultured bacterium. RNAcentral describes it as "partial 16S ribosomal RNA". It matches the Rfam family "Bacterial small subunit ribosomal RNA", at positions 28 to 507 of the family's 1533-position model. The record is from RNAcentral.
GACGAACGCUGGCGGCGUGCUUAACACAUGCAAGUCGAACGGAAAGGCCCUGCUCUUGUGGGGCGCUCGUGUGGCGAACGCGUGAGUAACACGUGAGUAACCUGCCCUUGUCUUUCGGAUAACUCCUGGAAACUGGGGCUAAUACCGGAUAGGAGCUCCUGCUGCAUGGUGGGGGUUGGUAAGUUUCGGCGGUUGUGGAUGGACUCGCGGCUUAUCCGCUUGUUGGUGGGGUAGUGGCUUACCAAGGCUUUGACGGGUAGCCGGCCUGAGAGGGUGACCGGCGACAUUAGGACUGAGAUACGGCGCAGACUCCUACGGGAGGCAGCAGUGGGGAGUAUUGCAGAGUGGGCGGAAGCCUGAUGCAGCAACGCCGCGUGCGGGAUAACGGCCUUCGGGUGGUAAACCGCUUUCGCCUGUAACGAAGCGUGAGUGACGGUAAUGGGUAAAGAAGCACCGGCUAACUACGUG